Orcinus orca (killer whale) is the source of this 3231-nucleotide RNA transcript. It is a transcript of the gene named transcription factor CP2, with no coding region annotated. The record is from RefSeq and is a predicted model, not a curated record. Lineage: Eukaryota; Metazoa; Chordata; Mammalia; Artiodactyla; Delphinidae. The transcript is spliced from 15 exons.
UUGGAAGUCAGGGCAGCCAAGAGCGAGGAGACAAGGGUGCGGGAGAUUAGUUGUGUGGGCAGUGCGGGUGGGGCUUGGGGGCGGCUGGUGAGUACUGCGGGGGAGAUCUUGGUUUGGAGUUUUCUACAGUCUUGCAGUCUUGCGUUGGGUAGAAUCACACUGCUCGCCUUUGUACGAGAAACGGUGUCUCCUGAGGCAAGGAAGGAGCCAGGAUGGCCUGGGCUCUGAAGCUGCCUCUGGCCGAUGAGGUGAUUGAAUCCGGGCUGGUGCAGGACUUUGAUGCUAGUCUUUCCGGGAUCGGCCAGGAACUGGGUGCUGGUGCCUAUAGCAUGAGUGAUGUCCUAGCAUUGCCCAUUUUUAAGCAAGAAGAGUCAAGUUUGCCUCCAGAUAAUGAGAAUAAAAUCCUCCCUUUUCAAUACGUGCUUUGUGCUGCCACCUCUCCAGCAGUGAAACUCCAUGAUGAAACCCUGACAUAUCUCAAUCAAGGCCAGUCUUAUGAAAUCCGAAUGCUAGACAAUAGGAAACUUGGAGAACUUCCAGAAAUUAAUGGCAAGUUGGUGAAGAGUAUAUUCCGUGUCGUGUUCCAUGACAGACGGCUACAAUACACUGAACAUCAGCAGCUGGAGGGCUGGAGGUGGAACCGACCUGGAGAUAGAAUUCUUGACAUAGAUAUCCCAAUGUCUGUGGGUAUAAUCGAUCCUAGGGCUAAUCCAAACCAACUAAAUACAGUGGAGUUCCUGUGGGACCCUGCAAAGAGGACAUCUGUGUUCAUUCAGGUGCAUUGUAUUAGCACAGAGUUCACUAUGAGGAAACAUGGUGGAGAGAAGGGAGUGCCAUUUCGAGUACAAAUCGAUACCUUCAAGGAGAAUGAGAACGGGGAAUAUACUGAGCACUUACACUCAGCCAGCUGCCAGAUCAAAGUCUUCAAGCCCAAAGGUGCAGACAGAAAACAAAAAACAGAUAGGGAGAAAAUGGAGAAACGAACGCCUCAUGAGAAGGAGAAAUAUCAACCUUCCUAUGAGACAACUAUACUCACAGAGUGUUCUCCAUGGCCCGAGAUCACAUAUGUCAAUAAUUCCCCAUCACCUGGCUUCAACAGUUCCCAUAACAGUUUUUCUCUUGGGGAAGGAAAUGGUUCACCAAACCACCAGCCAGAGCCACCCCCUCCAGUCACAGAUAACCUCUUGCCAACAACCACACCUCAGGAGGCUCAGCAGUGGUUGCAUCGAAACCGUUUUUCCACAUUCACAAGGCUUUUUACAAACUUCUCAGGGGCAGAUUUAUUGAAGCUAACUAGAGAUGAUGUGAUUCAAAUCUGUGGCCCUGCAGAUGGAAUCAGACUUUUUAAUGCAUUGAAAGGCCGGAUGGUGCGCCCAAGGCUAACCAUUUACGUUUGUCAGGAAUCCUUGCAGCUGAGGGAGCAGCAGCAACAGCAGCAGCAACAGCAGCAGAAGCAUGAGGAUGGAGACUCAAAUGGUACUUUCUUCGUUUACCAUGCCAUCUACCUAGAAGAACUGACAGCUGUUGAACUGACAGAAAAAAUCGCUCAGCUUUUCAGCAUUUCCCCUUGCCAGAUCAGCCAGAUCUACAAGCAGGGGCCCACAGGAAUCCAUGUGCUCAUUAGUGACGAGGUAGAUUUUCAGCACAGCUGAAUCACCAGACGACAGUGAUUUGUCUGGGCAGAUGACAGGAGCAGGAACCGUUCUACUGGGGCAGAGUGCUCUGUUUUCUAAGACGAGAUGAUACAGAACUUUCAGGAAGAAGCCUGUUUUAUUCUGGACACAAUGAAAGCAGAAACCAAUGAUAGCUAUCAUAUCAUACUGAAGUAGGUGUGGGGCAUUCCGUCCUCAGUGGCUGCUGCUGCUUUCGCCUAUGGGAACUCCCCUCUCGAAGGGGGUCUUGCAAAUGGAGCUCUGAAGGGCUGCAAGAACCUGACCCAUCUGACUGUGUCCAGGCCUUGGAGGCAGAAUCCCAGGCAUCUGUUGGCCCAGGCUCUUAGGGCACCCACAGAUUACUGCCCAACAUGCAUUUCUGCAACGAUUUCUUAUUUAAAAUUUCUGGACCCUAUUGUUGUUGAAUAUCAAUAGAAAACUCCACAUCAUUUAGGGUGUGUGUAGGGCAUAAUGAUGAUGAGAAUUGUGUGAUGUUUAAUGGAAAGAUGUUAAAUUUUGUGAUAUGGAGCCAUGUAAUUUUUUUUUCUAACAUAAAAGCAAACAUCUAUAUUCAUAAGACUAGAUCCUCAACCUUUUUUGCCCCUGAAAAACCUCAUUAAAGAGAAAUAUGGAGAAAGAAGAAAAUUCUUCUUUUGAUUCCCCUGUAAUUCUAUGACUAAUAGUAAUUUUAGGUAACAUUUAUUGCACAUUUAGUUGUGUGAGGCAGUGUGAUAAAUUCUUUAAAUAGAUUACCUUGUUUAAAUCCUCUUAAUAGCCCUAUAUGAAGUAGGUAAUAAUGAUCCCUAAUUGAAGAUGAGGAAAUGGAGACAGAGUGGCCGAGGAGCUUGCUGAGUAACAGGCAGCUAGCAGCUAGUGACACUGAAAUGCAAACCCAGGCCGUCUGGCUCUUAUUAACAGCCACCCUUGCAGUCCUCUGUGCUUGCCACCGUUUCCUACUGUGGCUCUUCUGGUGAAUUGGAUCUAACACUGAGCGAGAACUGAGGAAUUAACACCAAAAGGGACAAACCACACCUAAAUAAUGAUGAACAAAUCAAGACCUACAAAAAAAUGAAAACAUAGACACUUUCAAAGCAUCAUCAGUUACCAGAUUCACAGAAUUUGAGGUGGUGAAAACUAGGGAUUAUCUGUAACUCCCCAAAUUCACUGUUCUUGAAUGACCUUCUCAAACUAUUAAUGAGUUAGACUAACCUCUGCUUUCUCUUUCCCCUCUCUGCAUCUUCUCUUGGUAUAGAAAGUUCUUUUACUCAUGUAGCGUUCUUUUAUAUAAGCUUUACAAGAAAUUCAUUCCCAUCCUGUUUGCAUUCUUACCAUAUACUUUAGUUCUUCCUGAUUGUGAUUGUGUGCUCUUGUGUGUGUGCAUGUGUAAGACUAUGGGUCUUUUUUCACAUGUAAAGUUUUAUCCAGAAAUCCCUCUACGUGUUAUGCUGAGGUGAAAAAUGAUAAUGUUCAAAAGAUUCUGUAUUGGAUUUGAAUCUGUGUGUGUGUGUAUUUUUAAAGCAUUUGAUAAAGUUUAAAUGUUUUUAUACAGAGAUUUUCGUUCAUUAAAAUCCACCUUCAA